Molecule: unclassified non-coding RNA, 341 nt
Filed under: soil metagenome
Description: partial contains 5.8S ribosomal RNA, internal transcribed spacer 2, and large subunit ribosomal RNA
Rfam family: 5.8S ribosomal RNA (bases 1-120)
Source: RNAcentral
GAUGAAGAACGUAGCGAAAUGCGAUAAGUAAUGUGAAUUGCAGAAUUCAGUGAAUCAUCGAAUCUUUGAACGCACAUUGCGCCCGCCAGCAUUCUGGCGGGCAUGCCUGUUCGAGCGUCAUUUCAACCCUCGAGCCCCCCCGGGGGCCUCGGUGUUGGGGGACGGCACACCAGCCGCCCCCGAAAUGCAGUGGCGACCCCGCCGCAGCCUCCCCUGCGUAGUAGCACACACCUCGCACCGGAGCGCGGAGGCGGUCACGCCGUAAAACGCCCAACUUUCUUAGAGUUGACCUCGGAUCAGGUAGGAAUACCCGCUGAACUUAAGCAUAUCAAUAAGCGGAG